Molecule: long non-coding RNA, 1723 nt
Filed under: Bos indicus x Bos taurus (hybrid cattle)
Lineage: Eukaryota; Metazoa; Chordata; Mammalia; Artiodactyla; Bovidae
Description: lncRNA (ENSBIXG00005004130.1)
Source: RNAcentral
GCUGGAGUCACAUCAGGAGAAGCGCAUCUGACGCUCUGCCCCACGGCCUCGACGCCGAGCCUCGGGGAGCGCGCCAGGGCAGGGAGCGUCUCGUUCUCACCCCCAGGCACCCCUUGGAGUCUUUAUCGCCGGGCUCAGGGACCACAGCCGGGAAAAUCCUACGGUGACAUCACGGACGGGGAGCAAGGUCACGACGCGACCGAGGCCACUCUCCAAGGGGACCAGCAGUGGCCAGCGCUGCAGACCAAGGGCCGCUCCUGCGCCUUGUGCUCGGCACAGCCAGCUCCUGAGCCACCGUCCCCCGCCUGUGGAGCCCGGGAGGCAAGGGUCAGCUUCCCUGAACGGCAGCCUCGCCCCCAUCAUGGCCGGCACAACCUAAACCGAGUAACGAUGAUGAGCCCGCGGGCAGCCCUGCCUGCAGCCCUGGCCCGCUCUCUCCCCGGCACUGUACAGAAAUAUGAGACUGGACCCAGCUCUGAAGACAGCUGGCCUGGGAUCUUUUCGAAGCUUCGGGCUGUGAACGUGGCGAGCUGCCCGGGGAGCUGGGGGCACAGGCCACACCCCAGGGUUCCGAGCGUUUUGUUCCCGCGGGUUCAAGGAGCAGCCGGACCCGUGUGCACCCAGAGCCUCGCCGGGCGCGGUCACCGCUGGAUGUGGGCACGAGAGUCACAUGAAGGACUCAACAGCCUGAAUCACACAGUGAGGACUCCGGGGUUUGAAUGAGAGUAUUCUGGACAGCGGUGAUGGACGCAACAGUGACGGGCCCUGAGUACGUGCCUCCUCCGCUGGGCGCCCACCUGUCGCCUGUCCUCACGGAGCCCUUCCGACCACCUAGAUCCUGUCUCACUGGGUGAGAGGCACCUGUGAACCUGCUGCCCAGGUCGGGGGUCAGGUGGCCACACCAGACUCUGUGUUCCCCGGAACCCCUACUCGAGGACAGCUUCAUGGGGGCAUCACCAGCGGUGACUGGAGCCCCAGGACUGCUGUGCUGGGUGCAGAGGAUUCAAGGUCCUGACUGUGCUGGUUGUGGGGGAGGUCUCUGUCACAGGCGGAGCGUUUUAGGGCUGGUCGUUCACCCUGUCUCUUCCUCGUGGGGAUCGGGGCAGGGGGGCAGGGGCGGUUGGGCCCCAAGCUGGGAACGGGGCCCCGCAGAGCGUCUGCCACCAGGCAAACGGAGCCCUUGGUGUCAGGGGGCCAGAACUCCAGGUCAGGACCCUGCCAGGCUGUGGCUGCACGGGAUGGAGCCGAGUCAUCAGGGGCCCGCAGCCCCGCGUCCGGGGUGAGGGUGGAGGGAGAGGAGCCACACGUGGAGGAGGCAGGGAUGGGGGGGGUGGAGACCCGUCGGGUGGGGAGACCUGGGGCGGGCAGAGACCUGGGGGGCGGCCGGCACAGAGAUGUGGCUGACAGCAGCAGCCUUCACUGCUUAAUGCAGCUGCCGAACACCCUUGGAGAAGAGAUGCUGCAGAAGAUGCAUCCCGAAGGAGAGGCCAGCCCCAUGGGCGAGGGGGGCUCAGGAGAUCAGAGAGCAGAGGGGCUGAAGGCUGACCUCAGGGGGUUAAUGUUGUUACGAAGGAAGGGGCUCGUUCCCUUCAACACGUGACCAACCAUUUCUCCCCCUUAUUCCGAAAGUCCUGUCUGGGGAAGGUCCCUUUUGUCAUAGUCUAGGGUCUUCCCCCAAAGCCAGACGGGAGGGAGAGGUCCACAGGCUGCCCAGUCUCCCUAA